This 2233-nucleotide long non-coding RNA is filed under the name Mus musculus (house mouse). RNAcentral describes it as "predicted gene 20544". The record is from RNAcentral. Lineage: Eukaryota; Metazoa; Chordata; Mammalia; Rodentia; Muridae.
GCAAACAACAGAUCGGGUUUCUAAAAGCUAUUUCAACCCCCCUCCCAGUUACUGCCACCCUCUCCCAGGUCUAGAGAGGGGUACCCACGGUGGAGGGAGGUGGGAGGCCGAGACGGCCCCGGGGGUCGGCGGAGACCCAGCGGGAGCAGGGGGAAAUCGGAAGAGCUGGGGGCAUGGAGCGGGCGAGUUUGGAGCGGAAUGAGCCGACCAGGCUGGCCUUGAACUCAGAAAUCCGCCUGCCUCUGACUCCCGAGUGCUGAGAUUAAAGGUGUGCACCACCACACCCGACAAGGAAGCCUGUUUUAAGAAGUGAUUCCAUGGAGGAGUUCUGCGGCGGCUCAGGGCUUGACUAAACAGUGGACCUCAGACCCGAGGGUGAAGGAUGAGGAGGAUGGAAGAAAAUGGGAGUGGCGCUUGCUGCAAAGGGUCUCGAAGGGUCUCAGCACCUGCGAACUGGCUCCAAUCCAAACUCCACUAUUCAUGGUCAAGUUCACAUAGGGCUUGGGGUUCUAACAAGAUGUGACUAAACUUACGUUUUCUAUCUUAUUGAUUGUUGUUGAUGCACGUCUGGUGGUACAUGCUUGAAGAACACAGACACCCUGAGAAGAAAGACAUAGCUCCCCAGAUUCCAGCACGCACUUCUCUGUGAGCUACCACUGUAGCUGAAGAUACAGGGCUCAGGAGGAACACUUGGCCUUCGCUCUGAACUUCAGGCCCACGUAACCAUCAGCCGACAUGACACUGCAAAGGCACCUUAGCUCUGCUGUCCCAGAUGGCCAAGCCAACCUUAUUCCAGAAGCUACUUCUCCUGAUGUAAGAACCAGACACAAAGGACAACCUCUGCCUCACCCUCCUUCACACAACACUGAGUCUGUCAUCUUUGAAGCAUUUCUCAAGCCAUGUUUAUUCCCCUGGCCUACGUGGAACACAGCCAGGGUACGGAACACAACCUCAGCACCGGUCUGCUUUCCUCUCCCCAUUUCUGGUCUUUCUCAGAUGCCCAGAGCUCCUCUGUCCCAAUGACUGCUUAUCAAAGAUCUCACUGUGUCCCCACCCAAGGGGUCUUUGGCCACCCUGUGAAGUCCUAGUGGCCUGGAGUUUGCCCCCUUUCCCAGACACCUUAGGGUUCCUGCUGCAGCUCCAGAACUGGGGGAGCAGGGUUGGGGGUGAGUGUGUGUGUGUGUGUGUGUGUGUGUGUGUGUGUGUGUGUUGACUCACCCUGCAGUAUUCUCUCCAUCUGCACAGGUCCCCAGUCUCUGAGACUGAAUCACCCCUCUUUCACUAUGCCUCUGCACAGCUGCCCUUGUGCUCCCUCUCCUUGCCCCGCCUCUUUUUAAGACAGUAUUAUGCAGCCCUGGCUGUCCUGGAACUUAUGUAAACCAGCCUGGCCUUGAACUUGCAGAGAUCCACCUGCCUUUGCCUCUGCCCCUGCCCCUGCCCCUGCCCCUGCCCCUGCCCCUGCCCCUGCCUUUCUGCCUCUGCCUCUGCCUCUCUGCCUUUCUGCCUCUGCCUCUCUGCCUCUGCCUCUCUGCCUCUGCCUCUCAAGUGUCAGGGAUUAAUGCCUGCCACCUCCCCAGUCCCACCCCUCUCCAUCUACCAUGUGGGUUCCACGGGGCAAACCCAAGUCAUCAGGCUUGUUGGCCAGUGCCUUUAUCCACUGAGCCAAGCCGCUUGGUGUGUCUUUGAUGGUGAUUAUUUACAGGAGCUAUUCAGCAAGGUUAAAUGCUGGCAACCCAAUGAGGGGGUCUCUUGAUCCAAAACUGAGAAGUUGAGGCACUAUUUCAGAAUGACCAAAGACAGUAGAAGAAUCUAGAUAUGUCGAUGAUGAGAACAAUGAUAACUCCAAAAGCUGAGGGAAAUUAACUCAAAAUCUUCCAGCUUCCUUUUCCUUACCUAGUUUGGCGGACUCCAACUCUUGGGAUAGCUUUUUUUCUGGCCCCAAACUCACCUGAUUCGUCUGUCCACUGCCACACUGAAGAAUGAACAGCUGUCUCAGAGAGCUUGGCUCCAGAGCUCUGCAAAAAGAGGACACCUUGCCUUGAGCUGUGUUUCCAGAAUGUAUUGCAGCCCCCAGAGUCAUGUACUGUGACCAGGUGAGGACAUGCAUCUUCUGUUCUCCUGCACCCAGGGCCCCAGCAACCAAGGAUCUGGGGACAUGGCGGGUGUUUGGCAGGUUCGCACUCUGAAAAUAUUUGAUGAGACUCAGUAUAUGCUAAAUAAACACUGGAUCAAG